GGUUAAGCGACUAAGCGUACACGGUGGAUGCCCUGGCAGUCAGAGGCGAUGAAGGACGUGCUAAUCUGCGAAAAGCGACGGCGAGGUGAUAUGAACCUUUGACCCGUCGAUGUCCGAAUGGGGAAACCCAGUGUGUUCCGACACACUAUCGUUAACUGAAUACAUAGGUUAACGAGGCGAACCGGGGGAACUGAAACAUCUAAGUACCCCGAGGAAAAGAAAUCAACCGAGAUUCCCCCAGUAGCGGCGAGCGAACGGGGAGCAGCCCGGAGUCUGAAUCAGCUUGUGUGUUAGUGGAACGGUCUGGAAAGUCCGACGGUACAGGGUGAUAGUCCCGUACACGAAAACACACUUGCUGUGAACUCGAAGAGUAGGGCGGGACACGUGGUAUCCUGUCUGAAUAUGGGGGGACCAUCCUCCAAGGCUAAAUACUCCUGACUGACCGAUAGUGAACCAGUACCGUGAGGGAAAGGCGAAAAGAACCCCGGCGAGGGGAGUGAAAAAGAACCUGAAACCGUGUACGUACAAGCAGUGGGAGCCUCUUUAUGGGGUGACUGCGUACCUUUUGUAUAAUGGGUCAGCGACUUAUAUUCUGUAGCAAGGUUAACCGUAUAGGGGAGCCGAAGGGAAACCGAGUCUUAACUGGGCGUUAAGUUGCAGGGUAUAGACCCGAAACCCGGUGAUCUAGCCAUGGGCAGGUUGAAGGUUGGGUAACACUAACUGGAGGACCGAACCGACUAAUGUUGAAAAAUUAGCGGAUGACCUGUGGCUGGGGGUGAAAGGCCAAUCAAACCGGGAGAUAGCUGGUUCUCCCCGAAAGCUAUUUAGGUAGCGCCUCGUGAACUCAUCUUCGGGGGUAGAGCACUGUUUCGGCUAGGGGGCCAUCCCGGCUUACCAACCCGAUGCAAACUACGAAUACCGAAGAAUGUUAUCACGGGAGACACACGGCGGGUGCUAACGUCCGUCGUGAAGAGGGAAACAACCCAGACCGCCAGCUAAGGUCCCAAAGUCAUGGUUAAGUGGGAAACGAUGUGGGAAGGCACAGACAGCCAGGAUGUUGGCUUAGAAGCAGCCAUCAUUUAAAGAAAGCGUAAUAGCUCACUGGUCGAGUCGGCCUGCGCGGAAGAUGUAACGGGGCUAAACCAUGCACCGAAGCUGCGGCAGCGACACUAUGUGUUGUUGGGUAGGGGAGCGUUCUGUAAGCCGUUGAAGGUGUGCUGUGAGGCAUGCUGGAGGUAUCAGAAGUGCGAAUGCUGACAUAAGUAACGAUAAAGCGGGUGAAAAGCCCGCUCGCCGGAAGACCAAGGGUUCCUGUCCAACGUUAAUCGGGGCAGGGUGAGUCGACCCCUAAGGCGAGGCCGAAAGGCGUAGUCGAUGGGAAACAGGUUAAUAUUCCUGUACUUGGUGUUACUGCGAAGGGGGGACGGAGAAGGCUAUGUCAGCCGGGCGACGGUUGUCCCGGUUUAAGCAUGUAGGCGGAGGUUCCAGGUAAAUCCGGUACCUUUUAACGCUGAGGUGUGAUGACGAGGCACUACGGUGCUGAAGUGAUAAAUGCCCUGCUUCCAGGAAAAGCCUCUAAGCAUCAGGUAACACGAAAUCGUACCCCAAACCGACACAGGUGGUCAGGUAGAGAAUACCAAGGCGCUUGAGAGAACUCGGGUGAAGGAACUAGGCAAAAUGGUGCCGUAACUUCGGGAGAAGGCACGCUGAUAUGUAGGUGAAGCCCCUGCGGGCGGAGCUGAAAUCAGUCGAAGAUACCAGCUGGCUGCAACUGUUUAUUAAAAACACAGCACUGUGCAAACACGAAAGUGGACGUAUACGGUGUGACGCCUGCCCGGUGCCGGAAGGUUAAUUGAUGGGGUUAGCGGCAACGCGAAGCUCUUGAUCGAAGCCCCGGUAAACGGCGGCCGUAACUAUAACGGUCCUAAGGUAGCGAAAUUCCUUGUCGGGUAAGUUCCGACCUGCACGAAUGGCGUAAUGAUGGCCAGGCUGUCUCCACCCGAGACUCAGUGAAAUUGAACUCGCUGUGAAGAUGCAGUGUACCCGCGGCAAGACGGAAAGACCCCGUGAACCUUUACUAUAGCUUGACACUGAACACUGGUCCUUGAUGUGUAGGAUAGGUGGGAGGCUUUGAAGCGUGGACGCCAGUCUGCGUGGAGCCAUCCUUGAAAUACCACCCUUUAAUGGCUGGUGUUCUAACGUAGACCCGUAAUCCGGGUUGCGGACAGUGUCUGGUGGGUAGUUUGACUGGGGCGGUCUCCUCCCAAAGAGUAACGGAGGAGCACGAAGGUUGGCUAAUCCUGGUCGGACAUCAGGAGGUUAGUGCAAUGGCAUAAGCCAGCUUGACUGCGAGCGUGACGGCGCGAGCAGGUGCGAAAGCAGGUCAUAGUGAUCCGGUGGUUCUGAAUGGAAGGGCCAUCGCUCAACGGAUAAAAGGUACUCCGGGGAUAACAGGCUGAUACCGCCCAAGAGUUCAUAUCGACGGCGGUGUUUGGCACCUCGAUGUCGGCUCAUCACAUCCUGGGGCUGAAGUAGGUCCCAAGGGUAUGGCUGUUCGCCAUUUAAAGUGGUACGCGAGCUGGGUUUAGAACGUCGUGAGACAGUUCGGUCCCUAUCUGCCGUGGGCGCUGGAGAAUUGAGGGGGGCUGCUCCUAGUACGAGAGGACCGGAGUGGACGCAUCACUGGUGUUCGGGUUGUCAUGCCAAUGGCACUGCCCGGUAGCUAAAUGCGGAAGAGAUAAGUGCUGAAAGCAUCUAAGCACGAAACUUGCCCCGAGAUGAGUUCUCCCUGAGACUUUAAGUCUCCUGAAGGAACGUUGAAGACGACGACGUUGAUAGGUCGGGUGUGUAAGCGCAGCGAUGCGUUGAGCUAACCGAUACUAAUGAACCGUGAGGCUUAACCUU
RNAcentral lists this ribosomal RNA (2904 nucleotides) under Enterobacter hormaechei. Its description in RNAcentral is "23S ribosomal RNA". It matches the Rfam family "Bacterial large subunit ribosomal RNA". The record is from RNAcentral. Lineage: Bacteria; Pseudomonadati; Pseudomonadota; Gammaproteobacteria; Enterobacterales; Enterobacteriaceae.